This 252-nucleotide ribosomal RNA is filed under the name uncultured Pseudomonas sp. RNAcentral's name for it is "partial 16S ribosomal RNA". It matches the Rfam family "Bacterial small subunit ribosomal RNA", at positions 525 to 776 of the family's 1533-position model. The record is from RNAcentral. Lineage: Bacteria; Pseudomonadati; Pseudomonadota; Gammaproteobacteria; Pseudomonadales; Pseudomonadaceae.
ACAGAGGGUGCAAGCGUUAAUCGGAAUUACUGGGCGUAAAGCGCGCGUAGGUGGUUUGUUAAGUUGGAUGUGAAAUCCCCGGGCUCAACCUGGGAACUGCAUCCAAAACUGGCAAGCUAGAGUAUGGUAGAGGGUGGUGGAAUUUCCUGUGUAGCGGUGAAAUGCGUAGAUAUAGGAAGGAACACCAGUGGCGAAGGCGACCACCUGGACUGAUACUGACACUGAGGUGCGAAAGCGUGGGGAGCAAACAGG